RNAcentral lists this unclassified non-coding RNA (347 nucleotides) under uncultured Mortierella. RNAcentral's name for it is "sequence contains ITS2". Lineage: Eukaryota; Fungi; Mortierellomycota; Mortierellomycetes; Mortierellales; Mortierellaceae. The record is from RNAcentral.
AACGCACAUUGCGCUCUCUGGUAUUCCGGAGAGCAUGCUUGUUUGAGUAUCAGUAAACACCUCAAUUUCAUGAUUUUAUAUUUUGAAAUUGGACUUGAGCAUAUCCCAACGUGUAUUUAAUUAUAUGGAGGGUUGCUUCAAAUGCAGGUGCAGCCGAUCAUUCUUCUGGGCUAAAAGCAUUAUCUAGUUAGUCCCGUAAAACGGAUUAUUCAUUUUAUUGCUGCAGCUUACCUUUAUGAAAGGAAGACAUGGCCAUUGUGCUGACUGAUGCAGGAUUUCUCAGAGGGUCUGCAAAGACUUUUUGAAAACUCGAUCUCAAAUCAAGUAAGACUACCCGCUGAACUUAA